GCCAGUCUGGUGUAACGGGAGCACGGCGGUCUCCAAAACCGCGUGGUCCGGGUUCAAGUCCUGGGGCUGGUGCCC
This 75-nucleotide transfer RNA is filed under the name uncultured Chloroflexota bacterium. RNAcentral's name for it is "uncultured Chloroflexi bacterium tRNA-Trp-CCA". It matches the Rfam family "tRNA". From Rfam's summary of the family: Transfer RNA (tRNA) molecules are approximately 80 nucleotides in length. Their secondary structure includes four short double-helical elements and three loops (D, anti-codon, and T loops). Lineage: Bacteria; Bacillati; Chloroflexota. The record is from RNAcentral.